Molecule: ribosomal RNA, 495 nt
Filed under: Triticum aestivum (bread wheat)
Lineage: Eukaryota; Viridiplantae; Streptophyta; Magnoliopsida; Poales; Poaceae
Description: partial small subunit ribosomal RNA
Source: RNAcentral
AUGAAGCUAGUGUUCAUGAAAUGUUGGAGUUUUUUUUAUCAUAUCAAUGUUGUGAACAUAAGGGUUGUGAGAGAUGUUGAACCUGCAAUAAGUACACAGGCUAUUCAGAAUUACAUGAACACUCAAGAAAGUUGCUAUGUGCAAAAGGUUGUGGAGCAAUCUGAGCUUCAGAAUGAGAUAGAUGAUAGAAAGGCUCAACUUGAGAGGAGCAGGAUUCAAAGAGAGUCAGAUUUGAACCACUUUGAAGGAGACAUUAAAGUGUCUAAAUUUUGUUCUGAUGAUUCAGUUCAUUCAGAUGGGAGUGCUGAAGUUGUUCAACAAAUGGAAAUAGAGUGUGCCUCUGAAGAUGAAAUAUCAUUGCCAAGUACUGCUAUUGUGAAACAUGUGAAGAACCCUGGGCCAACUAGCAGAUGUCACAAUGAGGUAGAGAAAAAACGUUUUGAAGAUUGGUUUCCUGAAGCAGAUGAGUUUUGUUUUGCUGGUGAUGCAGGAUAA